UAAGGAUACCCUCAACUACUUCAAGCCUUGUCAACUCGGAAUUUUCCUUCAGUGCUGUCCAAAUACUCCACAACUGCUUUAACAGCAUUUUGUAAACUCUCUAUCCACCACUAAGACCUGAGGAACUCCCUGGCUAUUAAGGAUACCCUCAACUACUUCAAGCCUUGUCAACUCGGAAUUUUCCUUCAGUGCUGUCCAAAUACUCCACAACUGCUUUAACAGCAUUUUGUAAACUCUCUAUCCACCACUAAGACCUGAGGAACUCCCUGGCUAUUAAGGAUACCCUCAACUACUUCAAGCCUUGUCAACUCGGAAUUUUCCUUCAGUGCUGUCCAAAUACUCCACAACUGCUUUAACAGCAUUUUGUAAACUCUCUAUCCACCACUAAGACCUGAGGAACUCCCUGGCUAUUAAGGAUACCCUCAACUACUUCAAGCCUUGUCAACUCGGAAUUUUCCUUCAGUGCUGUCCAAAUACUCCACAACUGCUUUAACAGCAUUUUGUAAACUCUCUAUCCACCACUAAGACCUGAGGAACUCCCUGGCUAUUAAGGAUACCCUCAACUACUUCAAGCCUUGUCAACUCGGAAUUUUCCUUCAGUGCUGUCCAAAUACUCCACAACUGCUUUAACAGCAUUUUGUAAACUCUCUAUCCACCACUAAGACCUGAGGAACUCCCUGGCUAUUAAGGAUACCCUCAACUACUUCAAGCCUUGUCAACUCGGAAUUUUCCUUCAGUGCUGUCCAAAUACUCCACAACUGCUUUAACAGCAUUUUGUAAAGUACGUCUUAACACGUGACUCUGCUGUUAGCUAAUCUCAACACUGUUUUUGUUUUCCUUUAUUUGAGUGCACCAAACUGUUUUGGCCUCUGUGUCAGGAAUACUAGCAGCCAGACUCUUCUCUAUGACCAGUAUUUUCUAAACAUUUUCCUUCCCUUACUGAUUCUCACUCCCUCCCAACCAAAGCGAUUUACUUCUGCCCUUAGUCACCUACUGUAAUACUACCUCAGAACUCUAGGUGUCAGUCUACCCAGGCCUACUCCUUAUCCUCUUUCUACCCUUACUAGCUAAGCUCCUUCCCUACUCUU
Long non-coding RNA from Protopterus annectens (West African lungfish), 1088 nucleotides. RefSeq lists it as uncharacterized. NCBI's taxonomy places the organism in Eukaryota, Metazoa, Chordata, Ceratodontiformes, Protopteridae. The record is from RefSeq and is a predicted model, not a curated record. The transcript is spliced from 5 exons.